RNAcentral lists this ribosomal RNA (257 nucleotides) under uncultured Pseudomonas sp. RNAcentral's name for it is "partial 16S ribosomal RNA". It matches the Rfam family "Bacterial small subunit ribosomal RNA", at positions 96 to 356 of the family's 1533-position model. Lineage: Bacteria; Pseudomonadati; Pseudomonadota; Gammaproteobacteria; Pseudomonadales; Pseudomonadaceae. The record is from RNAcentral.
CGGCGGACGGGUGAGUAAUGCCUAGGAAUCUGCCUGGUAGUGGGGGACAACGUUUCGAAAGGAACGCUAAUACCGCAUACGUCCUACGGGAGAAAGCAGGGGACCUUCGGGCCUUGCGCUAUCAGAUGAGCCUAGGUCGGAUUAGCUAGUUGGUAAGGUAAUGGCUCACCAAGGCGACGAUCCGUAACUGGUCUGAGAGGAUGAUCAGUCACACUGGAACUGAGACACGGUCCAGACUCCUACGGGAGGCAGCAGCG